CCUACGUGAGGCAGCAGUGGGGAAUAUUGCACAAUGGGGGAAACCCUGAUGCAGCGACGCCGCGUGAGUGAAGAAGUAAUUCGUUAUGUAAAGCUCUAUCAGCAGGGAAGAAAAUGACGGUACCUGAGUAAGAAGCCCCGGCUAACUACGGGCCAGCAGCCGCGGUAAUACGUAGGGGGCAAGCGUUAUCCGGAUUUACUGGGUGUAAAGGGAGCGUAGACGGCAGUGCAAGUCUGGAGUGAAAGGCGGGGGCUCAACCCCCGGACUGCUCUGGAAACUGUACGGCUGGAGUGCAGGAGAGGUAAGUGGAAUUCCUAGUGUAGCGGUGAAAUGCGUAGAUAUUAGGAGGAACACCAGUGGCGAAGGCGGCUUACUGGACUGUAACUGACGUUGAGGCUCGAAAGCGUGGGGAGCAAACAGGAUUAGAUACCCCAGUAGUC
This 440-nucleotide ribosomal RNA is filed under the name uncultured bacterium. RNAcentral describes it as "partial 16S ribosomal RNA". It matches the Rfam family "Bacterial small subunit ribosomal RNA", at positions 338 to 795 of the family's 1533-position model. The record is from RNAcentral.